UUUUUCUCGAAAUAAGCAAAUUGAUUUCAUGCGAUAAAACAGAUUAAAGUUAGACUAAAGUCAUUCAUUUUUUCUCGUAAUAUUACUCAAACAAAAAUAUCACUCAAACCAAACAUAUGAAAAAUACUGAAAUGAGUUAAUGGGUGGGAUUGUCCUGUCAGCCAAGCUGCAACAUCUGCUUGGCUGAGGGAGGGAGGGAUGGAGGGACAAUCUCACCUAAAACAGUCCAAAAAAAUUUCAAACAAAUGUAAAAAUGGUUUAAAAUAAAUAUUAUAUUGUUCUGGGCGGCAAAGUUAAAAUGAUCCACACAUAGCAAACUAAAGGAAGUUGAGCUUUUAAUAUGAUCCCUUUUAAUAUCAGCCUUGAUAUCACAUAAAAUAGAAUUUUACACGUCCCAGAUUCUUACAGGGCUUCAGGAAACGCAGGUAAGUACCUUGUAACUCGUGGAAUUGUAAGGAUUUGUUAUCGCUCCUGCAGCACUUCUACUUCACUGUACUUAAAACAUUAUUUUGUCUUUGAGUUUGUCGUUAUGAGUGGCUCCCAGCUGUCCGGAGGGAGGCCCUGGAGCUCAAAAAUAUCACCAGUGGACCAGGCACCCCCCCCCCACAAACCGUGUGCCACGCAAAAAGCCGGACAGACAACAAGCCUGACAGACAGAGAGGCUAUGGGAGGGGUUGAAGAUGGACCUGGAAUGGAUGGGCCUAGUGACACUGGCGAGGCCGAGUGCAGAAGCGACAUUCAAUCAUUUUGAGAUGGACCCGAGCAUUUUGGUCUGCAUGGAGAGUUCAACUGAAGUGAAUCAGUAGCAGCUCUACUCUGCGACUCAUAUCUGUAAGUAGAGUUUAUUCUUAACGUUUGGACUCGUGUCUUCUGUUGGUGAUUAAAUGCACAGUUGGUUCAUGUUGUUUUAUCGUAACAUUUUCCUUUUUAUCUUUACAGCAGUCUACUUUGAAAGAGUCUACUUCUUCUGCAAAUGGAGAGUUCAACACAACAAAGACACGACUGUUGCUGUCAGUCAUCCAGCUGGAGACAGGACUCACUUCCAAAGCAAAGAAAGGAUUUUCUGCAGAACUCCCGAUGCAAACCCCAAAGACAGCUAACCCCUUCUUCAGGACCAAGAACAGGUUAACUCCAGGCAGUCACUGCCCUUUGUCACCUGGCUACUCACUGGCGAGUCACUCAUGAACCAGAGACUCCCAAAACCCUCCCACUAACCACAUACACACACACACACGUGUCGCAUGCUCAGCCGUCCUGGUAGGGGAUCUCUCUUUGACUUGGCCUACCUAAAGGUUUCUCCUUUUUCCCCUAAUAAGGGUUUUAAAGAGUUUUUCCUUUAAUGCUUGGAGAGUCUAAGGCUGAUGAUGCAAGACACACAAAUGUGUGAUAGUCUGAUGGGACCCAAAGUUGAGCUUUGUUUUCAUGUUAGUUUUAUGCUUUGAUAUUUUCAUGUAAUAAAAUGUAAAUGAAGUGACUAAAAAAAUGUAUCAUGUCUGAUUAACCAAGAGGUACGUGGGCAUUACAAAUGGUUUGACUCAAAGGUUUACAUGGUGGAGCAUGUCGUAGCAACUCAAGUAAUCAACUGAGUGU
RNAcentral lists this long non-coding RNA (1590 nucleotides) under Gadus morhua (Atlantic cod). RNAcentral describes it as "lncRNA (ENSGMOG00000025749.1)". Lineage: Eukaryota; Metazoa; Chordata; Actinopteri; Gadiformes; Gadidae. The record is from RNAcentral.